This 389-nucleotide ribosomal RNA is filed under the name uncultured bacterium. Its description in RNAcentral is "bacterial SSU rRNA". It matches the Rfam family "Bacterial small subunit ribosomal RNA", at positions 28 to 416 of the family's 1533-position model. The record is from RNAcentral.
AUUGAACGCUGGCGGCAUGCUUUACACAUGCAAGUCGAACGGCAGCACGGGUGCUUGCACCUGGUGGCGAGUGGCGAACGGGUGAGUAAUGCAUCGGAACGUGCCCAUGAGUGGGGGAUAGCCCGGCGAAAGCCGGAUUAAUACCGCAUACGCCCUUAGGGGGGAAAGCGGGGGAUCUUCGGACCUCGCGCUAUUGGAGCGGCCGAUGUCGGAUUAGCUAGUAGGUGAGGUAAAGGCUCACCUAGGCGACGAUCCGUAGCUGGUCUGAGAGGAUGAUCAGCCACACUGGGACUGAGACACGGCCCAGACUCCUACGGGAGGCAGCAGUGGGGAAUUUUGGACAAUGGGCGCAAGCCUGAUCCAGCCAUGCCGCGUGAGUGAAGAAGGCC